RNAcentral lists this ribosomal RNA (305 nucleotides) under uncultured bacterium. RNAcentral describes it as "bacterial SSU rRNA". It matches the Rfam family "Bacterial small subunit ribosomal RNA", at positions 334 to 654 of the family's 1533-position model. The record is from RNAcentral.
GACCCCCACGGGACGCAGCAGUGGGGAAUAUUGGGCAAUGGGCGCAAGCCUGACCCAGCAACGCCGCGUGAAGGAAGAAGGCUUUCGGGUUGUAAACUUCUUUUGUCAGGGAAGAGUAGAAGACGGUACCUGACGAAUAAGCCACGGCUAACUACGUGCCAGCAGCCGCGGUAAUACGUAGGUGGCAAGCGUUGUCCGGAUUUACUGGGUGUAAAGGGCGUGUAGCCGGGUUGACAAGUCAGAUGUGAAAUCCUGCGGCUUAACCGCAGAACUGCAUUUGAAACUGUUGAUCUUGAGUACUGUAG